UAUGAAGCCAUCACUGGAUGCUAUGGCGAGUUAGCAUGGCCACCGAUGACGGCAGAUAAACAUCUUUUUUUCCUGAAGCGGCAAGAUGUUUCUUCGCCAUUAGUACAUUGAGCAGGACAUACACCAGACUCACAGAAGCUGGAAUAGAUGCGUCACAUGAUCAACAACCGGACGUUACCACUGGCGGAAGAAGUGGGUUUAAUGUAGCCAUGAGAGGUCAGGGGAUCUAACAGCGUUGAGUGAGCGCUCCCGCGAAGGCCUGUGAAGAAGCGUGCUCCGUCACUGCCACUGAGGCGCACAUCCUCACUGCAGGAAACUAUCUCAACUUGUAACGCCACUCCCCGACUGCUCCAUUACAGGACUUUGCACAGUUGCUCUGAAGAGCUGCAGGGGGGAUUACAUGACUGACGUUUUUAUGAGAUGAAGCUAACCACAACUGCUGGAGACAGUGGUGGAAAAAUAGCAAACCUGCAAUCAGGAAACUAGGGACUUCUGUUAAUUUGUUGAGUGUGCAUCCGGUGACAAAUGGGAAGUAACCGAAAGCGGCUAUCUUACUGAUGCAACCACCAGCAAAGCGUUCUUAGCAUCUCCACGUUUUGACCCUACGAUCCAACUGCUGUAAGCAGAAUACGGGCCGAUCACUAAACGCAACGUCAGCUGCAGAUCCGCAGGAGACCGUCCAUGGUUCCUACGUUCUAACAAGAGCUCUUCCAGAGGUAACAAUGAAGCCUGAAAGGACAUCAUGCCGAGACAGCCAGCUGGGGAACACUGGGAUGUUGUGUCCA
Molecule: long non-coding RNA, 785 nt
Organism: Gambusia affinis (western mosquitofish)
Lineage: Eukaryota; Metazoa; Chordata; Actinopteri; Cyprinodontiformes; Poeciliidae
Exons: 6
Source: RefSeq, a predicted model, not a curated record